UAUCCGUCGGUUGCUGUCCCCGCGUGUCCGGAAUCACGGAAUCAGUUUGGCUGAAAAAGACCUCUGAGACGACUGAGUCCAACCUAUGACCGAACACCACAAUGUCAACUAAACUAUAGCACUAAAUGCCAGCUCCAGUCUUUCCUUUAAACACCUUAGGGAGGGUGGCUCCACCAAAUCCCUGGGCAGCUCAUUCCAAUGUCUAACCACUUUUUUUUGUGAAGAAAUUCCUUCUAAUGUCCAACCUAAACCUCUUGCUGCAGCUUAAGACGAUGUGCUCUUGCCCUGUCACGGGGUACCUGGGAGAAGAGGCUCCUUUCAGCUACCUGUAGACAGUGAUUAAUAUGUCCCCUGAGCCUUCUUUUGUCCGGACUAAACACCCCCAGCUCCCUCAGCUGCUCCCCAAAGAACUGAUGUUCCAGACCCAUCACCUCUCCGACUGCCCUUCUCCGGACCCGCUCCAGCACCCGUGUCCUUCCUGAACUGAGGAGGGCAGAGCAGGCUUUCCAGGCGCCACACAGGUGGCUUCCGACCCUGAGGAAAAAACAGCAACAGGGCCUGGCUGGCAAAGAGAUUGGCUCCAUGGGAAUCACUAUCCAGCAUAUGUGCAGGGCUGGAAAGGUGUUUCCAACAUCCUGAAAACAUCUGCCAGGUCUCAAACUCCUGUUUGAGGAGCCUGUCCUGUGUCUGUCCCAGGCAAUUAAGCAAAAAGCAUUCAAUGUGCCCCAGUAUCAAAAGAAAUCCCAGCCUUGGCUAAGGCUCUUGACUGUGCUUUGGGGGGCUGUACUCCAGGCCAGCGGUCCCACUGCUUCUCCUGUCCAGAAAUGAGGAGUUGCUACAAUAUACUGGCUGUGGGCCUGAGGUGGGGUAUUUAUCUUGGCACGGCUCUCUUUGGAUCUCAUGUGCACCAGGGCAGAGGCCCCACUGCUUCUCCUGUCCAGAAAUGAGGAGUUGCUUCAGUAUUCUGGCUGCAGGCCUGAGGUGGGGUAUUUAUCUUGGCACGGCUCCCUUUGGAUCUCGUGUGCACCCAUGGUCAAACACUCCGAGGAAUGUGUACUCUGCCCACUGAAGACCAUGGCACCUGCCCUUCCAGGCCAACAUGCACAGCAAAGAUGGUUUGGGGCCACAUACAGGCCUGGCCUGGUACCAGUGUGUGCGGUAGAGAAAGACUGGGUAUUACAAAACUGUGGUUCUUAGUAUCAAAAAUACCCAACAAGAGAGACCUUUAAAAUAGUUGCAAAGAAAGGGAAAUUAUGAGAGAAUAAAUGAAGGCAAAUUAGCCACAACAAAUGCUGCUACUUAGAGAGAAAAAGGGGAAUGGGCUUUCAGCAAAGGAAGAGCUCAAGGACAGCACAAGGAGACAGAUGACACUACAGAAACCAAAUGACAGGCAGACAGGAACAACAAAGGGAGGAGUCCUUGGUCUGACAUACACUGUACUUGUUGAAAAUAUUGUAUCAGUGCUAAGGUGAGGAUGGGUAACAAGUUAAAAAAAUCUUUUCUCCAGAGACUGGGACCCAAGAGGGGGUGAGUCCCUGCAGGAAGAGAAAGGUGCCUCCAGCUUUUUCAACAUAUACAAUGCUCUUUUCAGAAAGCUGCUCAAGGACCUUGCCUUCCUGCAGUCUGCAGAAUUCAUGCUCAUCAGCAAGGUUUUGGAAAAAAAUCAUAGCAAUAGAAAGGAGGUUGGUUGUCUCUCCAAAGAUUGCAUAAAGCAGUGCAGCAACAUCCUUACUUUUUUUUUUUUUUUUUCUUGAGAGCCUCCCUUCCUCUAGUGAGCAUGCACUGUGGAAAUGUCUGGUUUGACCUCAAAGAAACUUUUCUUUGUCAUACUUCAGCUGUUGCAGAGAAACAUGGUGAUUUUCCAUCCUUUCUGCUGUUUGUUUGAACACAGGAGUACCUGGUUUUGCAGAUACUAUGUGUAAAAAAAAAAAAAAAAAAAAAAACCAAAAACCCAAAAAAACCCCUGUGAGCAGGAAGGAAGAAAGGAGCAUAAAGACACAGCUUGGACUAAAACCUCAAAUCCUCCAAACUCCCCAUGUGCUCCUGCAGGAGAGAGACAGCAAGGGCUGCACUGGAGUGGCAAGAGUAUGAAAAGGAAUUUGGGCUGUUCCAGUGAAUGCCCUGAUGUGAUUGCAAAUCCAGAGAGAUGCUCAGCUCCUCUCAAGCAGGCUGAAUCAGCCCAGCUGCAUUGACAGCUUGCCUUUUUUAUAGCAUAGAGGUAUCUGACAGGCUGAACUUGAACCUGCCCUAGAUGCAUAACUUAUGGUGAAGUAAUAUAUAUUUUAACUUUGAUGCCCUACAAAGUUUGCAAACCUUAUUUGCUGGAGCAGUUGUCUUGGGAACUUGUAUGUAUCCAGACUUGGGGACUCAGAGGGCUUAUCUUUGUGCAAGAGGCUGAGCUUUGCCUGAAAGCCACUUGUAUGCUGAUGAAGGCUGGGGAGAAAAAGCCAGACUGACGAGUGCAUGUAGUUCUUGCUGAUAAAUAUGAUCCUAAGCUCCUUUCAGGGGUUCAUACCCUUCAGCUGAGCCUCUCUGAGUAUCCAGGCUCUCUGUUGGUCCAUCCCUCCAUGAAGCAUUUUGUCUCAUCUGAAGAUUAGUGUCAUUGAAAGAUGGGAUCUGUUGCUUUCUGGACCUGCCUGUUUUUGUGCAUUCACUAUAGAGAGGAUCUGAAAAUCAGCAGGAACAAGAUGCCUGACUUUAAAACAGUAUCCUGAGCAAGUGCCAAAGGCAAUGUCUGUGAUAAAGGCAAAAGCUUACAAUACUGGGGAAGGUCAGCUGAAGCUACUUCAGUAUCAGCCUUUGCAUUUCUUUAAAUUUUUUUCCAAGUGUAACCUGGCCUUUUUAUUUGGAAGUUUUAGUUUAAUCCCACGUGGGCUAGAGUUAUUCAAGGAUUUUUACCAAUUAACCAGAAUCUUGAAGUUUUCUUCUUGCAGAAACUAACUGCUAGCAAAAAUUACCCCUCUCUGGGGAGCAUGUACUUCUGAAGUUGCACAAUAAAUGCUACUAAGUGGGUCACUUGAGAUCCCUGUUUUGGAGCAUACAAAUGCCUCCAGUGUCUACAGGUACCUUGGCAUUGCCUCGUCUCCUGAAAACUUAGGAUCCUCCAGAGACAGCUCUCUCCCUGCCUGAUCUUACAAGAUCCAGCUAAUCUCCUCUCCACCUCACAGGGCUUUGCACCACAGCGAGGACUUCUAAACUUGGAUUGGACAAAGCAGAAUUUAGGAAAUGUGUCUGCAGACAAGAGGCACACCCAGGGCAGGAAUAACUCUAUCAGGCUCUGGAAAGCAGGCUAGCUAUUCAUAGGAAGGCUGCCUCUGUCUCUGGCUGGGGAGGAGGGAGUCAGGCCAUUGAAUGGUAUGGUAAGCAGUGCUCCAGUGCUGAUGGCUGGGAAUAGCUCAUGUCCCAAGCCCACGGAGCCGGCAAACAUUUUUUUCUGUCUCUUUCAGCUCUCCUCCUCCUAGUCUUUGCUCAUCUCAUAUUACUGAUCUACUCAGCUUCCCUUCAUCAGCAGCUACUGGGACCCUGCUGUGGCUGAAAACCAGAGUAAAGAACAUGCAACCUCCUCCCAAAAGUAAAACAGUGUGGUGUCCCUCAAGUUUCCCUGAAUGCUACUGAUUCCCGAGCAGAAGUUAAAGUGUUGGAAAGCAAGUCAAGAUGGUGCAGACACAGCAGGUGGUGAAAGAGAAAGUCUUUGGCAUGGUAAAUAGGAAACCAGCUUAUAGCGAUUUGAAUCCGGUGGCACCAGCAAAACUGUAAAAAACAGCAAUAGCUGGGGGCUGCAGGAAAAUCACCAAGUUGAAAUAAAUAUUAUGGUUCUGAAAGUUGGCAUGAAUAGGCUGGGAAUUGAAUUUGCAGACUUAUCUACUCCUAAUGAAGGAGAAAGAAAUCUAGAAGAGGUGAAACAGUGCAUAGCAGCUAAACACCUUGGGUUUUGAUUUUUUUCACUUCUAGAACUGUAGUGAUAACUUAGGUGUUUUUGCCCAAAAGCCAAAGGCCACAAUAGGCUAUUUUUUGCAGUACCACUCCAUCAAAACUCAUAGUGCCAUGCUGAAAAACUGCAGACACUACCAAAUACUCUGCUCUAAUUAUUUCCAUUCAUCUAAGGGUUACUUCAGAAUACAAAGUCUUCUGUGAUGUUUAGGCUCCCAGUGAGGCAACAACCCAGAAAAGACCAAACACUAUUUUCUGAGGCUGGUUGCUGUAACCUUAUCAUCUGAGACUCACAGAGCACUUUGGAUCUCCUCAAGAGCACGUCCCAGAGACGGAAGUUGCUGUCACAUCCUGGAGAUGGGCUGUAUAUCUAAGCUGGCUGACCCACAGAGCAAUGACUCACCUCAAACCCUGCCAGCUUUCUCAGCUCUCUUUGAUUGCUUAGUCUUGAAAUUACUCAAGUCCAGUCUUCUGACUUUGCCUCCUACAAGGUCUGGUUGGUUCCCCUUCCUCUGUAGGGUGGAUUCUCCUUGGCAGCCUUUACAAUGCCUAAUUAACCUCAGGCUGUGGCUGAUGUGAGCUUGUUUUGAGCUGUUUGACAGCUUUGGGACAGCCUUUAAAGCUCUUGGUCCCACAGCUUCUAGAGUUGUGCCUGUGGUGGGGUUUGCUCAGGUAAGGAGUUUGCUUAGGUCCUCCAAGAGAUAGGCAGAGUUAGCUCAAUCAAAUUAAAUAACCAAGUACUGUUUGAUUAACAGCUUAACCCAAGCUGCUUGUGGCUUCCCUGGCAGCCAGGGCUGAUCCAGCCUGUGCAACAGCAGGACCGGGGCUUUGCACCAUUCCUGUCCAGGGAACCAUGUGAUGGAUGGAGUUACCCUGGCACUCAACCUGCCUCCAAGAUUUUUAAAGCCUCUGCUUAAACGUGAGCUAGCGCAGCUAUAAACAGCAACCAGUGGCCCCUGGUUAACCCAGGGGCUUUGAUCAUGGAACUGGCUCAGUGUGUGAGUCAUUGGCUGCUCACAGCCUCAACUCACAUCCACUGGGGGCCAAGUUCAUCACUACUCCUGGUUUAUUGCUGCCUUGUAGUCUGGGUAAUGGAGGGGUGGGAAUAUGCUCCAUUCGACACCUCCAAAUAUGAAAAUACAUAUUUAUCUAUUAUAUGGCAAUCAAAAUGCUUGUACAUAAUUACAGCAUACAAUUCAUAAUUGAAAAUAUAAAGCAUAAAUUUCAAAUUAGGACUUAAGUGCAAAGCAAUCUGUAAUAUUGAAAGUUGAAUAACAUAAUUACAAUAAAUCUCUUGAUAAAGGGUUGGAAGCAGCUGCCUCGGGGAGGGGAGGACAUUUGACACCAACAUUGCAAAGGCAGCAAUGUCCCCAUCUGGUAUGGAUGCUGCAGUGCAUAGUCUGUCACGGGUUUGACCACUGCCUACACAGUGCUGCUGGCCCCCAGCAUUUCUUAUCUGCAUGAACACACAUCCUAUUUAUUGAGCGGAUUUCCUUUGUUUUGCAGCUCACUCUCCCUUAAGAGUGUGUUAUUGUCUUAUGAUCAGACACCGUGGUUGCAGAAUGCACAACACUCCAGGUUUAAUUGCUUUCUCCAUGUCAUUCUGAAGUGUGAGUCUCUUAAAUCAUUGUCAGGGCUGUGUUCCCUGCUGCCAGCACUGCUAAGGCUGUAUGUGGAGCACUGUGCCCAGUUUGUGAGAUAAAUGGUGACAGGCUUCAGCCCAGUGGCUGCCACCAGACAGCAGCAUGUGGUGUGUAAGGAGACACCAAAGGAGAUGGGCUUCUUCAGCCCAGAGGAGAAACAACAAAUAGUACCCCACUCUGUGUGAGAGACAGACAGUGAAUGCAGAGCCAAACCUUCUCAGAGGUGCCCAGUGAAAGGAUAAGAGCCAACAGGCACUUCUGCAACACAGGGACCUCUGAUGAGACAAGUGGAAAUCACUGCUCCAGAGCAACGGGAUGGCAGUACACAGCCCAGAGAGGUGGUCACACCUCCAUCCUUGGGAACCAAUCUUGCCUUGGCCCACACAUCCUGAGCUGACUGUGAGUGUCCCUCACACGAGGAGUGAGGAUGGGAGAGACACCUCCAGAGCACCAUUCUGCACAGAUCCAUCCAUAAUUGUAUGAUUAUAUUUCCCUGUUUGAAACUGCUGAUGGCUACUGAGGCCCCUGAUGCGGUCUGUGGUAGUUCACAGACCCAUCUCAGUGGACCAAUGCUCUCACAGGAGCAGGCAAACCCCCACACUGCUUAAAAUUAAGAGUAUGAAUGAGCAAAUAGAGAAUUAUGAGAAUGAUGAGAGGCAGACAAGACACGGAGAACUCAUAUAUCAGCGUGGCAUUUAAUGUAACAUUUAAUAUCCCGCAAGAUGUCACAUUUAAUAUCCAGCAAGAUAUCCUAGUCUAAGGUAAACACAUGCAUCCCUUAGUAAUACAGAGAUAUCUUAUUCUGCAUGAAGCAAUUAAGCCUCUCUGCAGGCUGUGCACAAGGGAAGUGGCUCACAGACCUUUGCCCACAGUGCACAGUGUGACUCUUGCACCUCUGGAGAUUCCUGCCUGCCUUAGCUCCCAUUGCAGAUCAGAUGGGCUCCUGCUGGGUACCACUGUUCCCCACAACCUGCUCAUUUGCCAUCUGCACUGCAGUAUUAAGUAAGUUGGGCUGGUUUGUUUCACUACUCACUUUGAAUGAAGUGAAUUCUACGUGAAUGAAGAUCAUAUCAGGGAUCCUGUCAACCCAUCAGCUGCUAUCAAGAGACCACUCUUAUUUUUUCCACUUGUAAAGGAGGUGUACAUAAAAUAUGCCACUCCCUGUCACAGGACUUUGUGGAUACUAAAAACUGAUGUGAGUUCAAAAAGGGACCAGAUAUAUUCACAGAAUCAAAAAUGCCUCUGUUGCCUGCAAAGACACCCCCAUCUUUCCAGGAAAUCCUUGAUCUGCAAAUCAACCUGGCUGGGAAAGUAAUCAUAGCAGAAAUCACUACAGGCUUGCCCAGCAAUUCUUUCCCUCAAGUAUCUGCCAUAGCUCUCUCUCAGGCAGGGUGAGGGGAGAGAUGGACAACACUUGACCUUAAGGUUUCACAAAAAAGCUUACUCAAUGUCACGGGUAUAUUGGAAUUUCUCCCUAGAAAUCUUCACAAAAGGCAGAAUUCUAUGGGGAGAGAGGGUCAGAUGCAGAGUAAACAGCAAGACAGCCCAACUCCUCCCUACCUGAGGGCUCCUGUGUAGAAUCACAGAAUUGUUGAGGUUGGAAAAGAUCUUUAAGAUUGUCAAGUCCAACCCUUAAGCCAGCAGUGCCAAAUCCAGCACUACACCAUGUCCCUAAGCACCACAUCUACAUGUCUUUUAAUAUCCGCUGAUAUUACACUCAGCAGGUGAAAGCCAUAUUCUCUGAUUUUGGUGGUCAGAUGAUCACAAACAAGACCAUUUGGCGUUGAAAGUACCAAGGCUGCUAGGGAGCCAAAAAAUUAACAGCACCAUUCUGGUAAUCUUGGCUAUAAGCUGAACUGGCAGUUUUUUUUGGGGUUUCCAAAUAGCUCAAAAUCACCUGUGGAGACAAGUAGUGACAGCCAUCCUGAUGCUUCCCCACCUACAUGCUUUAGUUGGGGAACCCAGGAAGCUCUGGUAACUCCAACCAUCCUGUACUGGAAGAGCUGGGACCAGCAGCAAAGGCAUAAAACUCGUGAGCAGCCCUGGCAUAAAACUCAAAGAUGCUUGCCCUGUGGCAGGUGAUAUGAAUCUCUGCUUGAUAAUACACAGGACCAUGAGAAAGCCUAAGAGUCUGUGAUUUCUGUGAUUCUCUGAGCAAAAAAACAAAUUAUCAUCCAAAAGCUGCCCUUUUGUCAACACUGGCUCCCCAGCUUCUGUGCAGCUGCCUCAGUGCCUGGACAGGGAAGGGCCCAGAUGUGGGCUAGUGGCAUUUGAGCUCCAGGGCUCACGUGACUAGAAAAAGCCUGAUAAGAGCCAGGAAUGCAAGUGGUCCUGAAAUAGGAAUAAGGGCAGCUGGGGAAAGCCUCAUAUGGAUACAUGGGCUGGGGCAGUGGGGCUUGGUAUGCAAGGAGAUGACACCUGCCCCACACACUCAGCGUUGCAUUUCACUCCCAAGGAGGCUCACAUGGGGCAAGUGACAUGUGUCUCAAAGGCACUGUGGAGACUGCCCUUGGCCUGCCCUACACAGAGCUGCAGGAGCAGGGGGGUCAUUUUCCCCAGCAGUUCCCAGAGCUUGAGCAGGCCUCCAUGGAGCUUGGAGUCAUGGAGAGUGUCCCUUCCUGCCCAGCCAUGCACACCACACAGCCCUUUGGAUUGUGUGGCAUGUGCCCCAUGUGUCAAAUGCAAAAACAUUGCUGUCACUGUCGUCUAAGAGGUCCCCAAGCCUGGCCACCACGAUAGGGCCCCAGAAGGUGCACAGCCCUCCCUGGCCUCCUUCUAGGAUGUCCCAGGACUGUGAUCAGUCACAGCCCACCCUGCUGCCCUUCCAAGUUCCCCAGCCUCAGUCUUUGCCUCCUUGGGGGAGAUUUUUGAGAUACAGCCAGCCACAGCAUUCUCAUAAUGAGUUGCUAUUCUGUUGGCCUAGUUUGGGGAGCAUCACAGGGAGAAGGAAAAGAUGUUUUUUCUAUAUUUCCGUGUCUCACAGGUCUCUGCGGUGGUGUUUAUAAUCGUCCUGUCCACAGGCAAUCUGGAAUUUGGGCUGAAGCGUCUGACCCGAAGCCAGUCCAGACAUUGCCAUCAGAGCAAGGUGUAAAUUCAGGGGCAGAUCAAAGUCAGAUUUUAGCUCCAAAGCAUGGAGCAGUGCCUGGAGGUUCCCUAUGGUUUGCCUUUCCUAUGCUGGAUGGGUUUUGCUUUUACCAGAGGUUGUGACCCAGUUUCUGUUUUCAGUGACCAGGCCUGACAGUGACCAAAGAUCCUCCAAAAGAAGCUCCUGAGCUUUCCUGAGUUCUUUUACUUGGUUGUCUGAGAUAUCCCAGCACAUGGUAAGGCAAACUCUUUUCUCGAGCAAGCUAGAGACUGCAAGAGACAGGCAUGAGCUGGCAUCCGGGAGCAGCGUGUUAGAUAAGCCCAGCACCGAGCAACGUGGCAGCCAGCCACUGUGUGCCAUGUGAGUAUUGGAGACUAUUAUUUAACCUAUAAGUAAACAUUGUCCUUAUCUUGCUCUCCCUUUCAUCUUAUGAAAAAGGAUAUUCAAACUCUCUAAUUUUUUUUUUUUUUUUUUUAGUGUUUAAUGCUUUUCAGUCUCAGCCUUGACUUGGCUUGCAGGAAAAAGCAAGUGGGUGCUCAUGCUGAGCAGUUGUAGCCAACAAAGAUGUUCUCCAUGGGCAUAUGGCCAAGUCCCCUGUGCUGGUGGUGGGUGUUCUUUGGGGUGCACAGGGCUCAUGUCUGAUUAGUUCUGCCUUAGCUCCAGGCUUCAAACAAACAUGGUGAUCAAAUGCCUUCCAGAAGGUGCCUCCAGCAAGCAGCAUUGUGGCUUCCCUGUCAUCCCUCUGGGGACUGCAAGAUUUCCUUUUCCUUGGCUGUCUGGGCUUCCUGGGAGGUCUCUGCUGAUCCACCUCAGGCACAAGCAGCUGUACCUUAAGUGCCUCUGUGCAGCCCUUUCCUCAGGCUCUCUGUCACCGCAGAGUUUAAUCUAACCCAGACUUUUCCUCUAGGCAGGCCUGGAGGAUGGCAGCAGAAACCCGAAUUUCCCUUCUUGCAAAUACAAGAGGAACAUGGGAGCCCCGGCUCUGCAGAGGCUGAAAGGCUGGCAAAGAGUCCAAUUGAGUAAAGUUCCUGUUUCAUAUCCAGUGGAGAUGCAAUGUAAACAUGCCAAAAUUUCUCUGCCAUCAAUCCUCGCCACAAACUCAAAUUUUUGGGAAACCAACUGCAAACAGUAUCCCAGUAUAUAUAUCUGCUCCUGGCCUGCUUUUCUUCCAUUCUCUUUUCCCAGUGCUGUGGUGUCCAAGAGCAAAGUGAAACAAGGGCUGAAUGAAGCAGCAGAAAGCUUCGCUACCUCCACAGAAGUGCAGGAAACCAAGUGUGGCCAAAAGACAGAAAUGAAGCAUGAAGGAAUUUCAGAUUAAAUCACCUUAACUCUGCCCAGUGCUGAGCUGAUGGGAGAAGUCCCUCUGCUUUGCCCAGUGGUAGAAUGGAGACAGUGAAACAGGGGAUCUGCAGAAGGGUCUUGAGGCUCUCCUGUGGUAGGUGGUACAGGACCAGUGGGGCCUUUCCCUGCCUGGCUUGGAGCAUCCCGUUCCCUCAUUGCAUGGGGAGCAGGAAGUCUGUGCUGGCUGCUGAUCACAUAGAGAUGGUGAGCAUGUGACUGUGCUCUUUAGCAGCUCUGGCCCUAUGUGACUGGUAUUUCUUUCCAGAACUUACUCUUUUCUUGUAUUCUAUAAUGUUCAAUGAUAAUUUUCACAUGUGAUUAAAGUAUUGAAUUGUUAGACAGUACAUUAAACAGUACAUAAAUGCCACGAAUUCCAACACCCACAGAAAUACCAUAUAUUACAAUGUUUUAAUCCAGUCCAUACUGCACUAAUGAGGCAGGUUAUUUGCCAGUAUUUUGAAGUCAGGCAGAGUGAUUGGGAAGAGCCUCUACACUUUUCAAGUUUACAUCUAGGCCUCAGAUGGAAACAAGUACCAGAUUUAUGCCGAGCAGGGUUGCUGAAGAGUGUGGUGAGCUCUGUACCUGUGCCUGUGCAGCCCUGAAGCACAAAGUAAGCACAGACCCCUACCAGACUUUCUGCUGGAAGGAUCCCAGGUCCCUCUUGGGUGGCUGAGGUCAGACACCUCUCUGUGAAGAAGUUUUUCCCUGGCAUUCUGCUGGGAUGGGGCCAGGCCUUGGCAGGUGCUUGAUUGUCUCUCAGGUACCAUCAGGAUGACAUGUUUGUGCCCUGCUGGGCUGGUAUGGCUCAGUAGCAGCUACAUAACACCAAAACCCGAGUGUCUGCACUGAGACUGAGCAUCUUCAUCCCUUCCUCCAGAGGCAGGCAGAUACACUCGAGGAAACAUCUGGCAGCUGGUUUCAUGGUAGUCCUGCAAGACCAAAGUCUCACUCCUGCUGUUUUACUUUUUGCUGCCAGGCUGGAGAUGUUUUACUAAGCCACAGGUAUUUACCAUGGCCUCUGGAAUGCCUGCUGGGCUGUGCUGUGCUGUGCUCUGCCCUGGAGGCUGCCUGGGUUUGGGGCUCUCAUUGAGGCCGGGAGGUGCUGGCAGGCUCAGACACACUGAGCUCCUGCCUGUGUAACCCCAGGGUUAUCUCUGAAAGACCAAAGAGCCUGGCAGGUUGUAUGCAAGUGCAGCUAAUAAGGGGGAAUGUUUUAUAGCCCUUGAGCUUUUCCCAAUUACUUUCUGCCUCCUUUAUUGCUUUUAUCUUCUCCCCAAAGGCCUGGGAAUGCCUUAAUUGGAGGUGGGGGCCCUGAUGGUGGGUGCAAGUUAAAUAUGUGGUUUUUUCUUCAUGAAUAAGGCAAUAUAUAUCCUGGUGUAGAAUCACAGAGUCAUAGAAUAUACUGAGUUGGAAGGCAAUGACAAAGGAUUAUCCUUGCCCUGCACAGGACAGCCCCAAGAAUCACACCCUGUGUCUGAGAGUGUUGUCCAAAUGCUUCCUGAACUCCAUCAGGCUUGGUGCUGUAACCACUUCCCUGGGGAGCCUUUUCCAGUGCCCAGCCACCGUGUGGGUGAAGAACCUUUUCCUGAUAUCCAACCUAAACCUCCCCUGUUCCCUCAGAAAAGCAAGUGGUCCCCUGGAAAGCAGAGCCAGCAACCCAUGGCCUUGAUGCUCCAUGUCUUUGAUAGCACUGCAGAGAUGGGGUGAGGUCCUGCCGGGAGGUCUGCUGCCUCUGCUGGGCUUGAGCUUCCUGGAACCAGGAUAUUUUGGAGACCCUGUGCUUGCAUCUAAUUCUGGCUUAUGGCUGGCUGUUGAGCUGUGGGUUCAAAAGGUUUUGAGAAAGGGACUCAGGCUGAGUGGCCAGUAUCAAACAAUCCUUGCUUGUAGCAAAAGGGGUUAAAUCAGAGUGAGCUGGGCAGAAUGGAAUAUGGUGCCACUCUGAAAGGAGAAAAUGAGCGCAGUGCUUUAUGUAUUUUAGUGGCACAGUCCCUGCAAGGAACAACCAAAUGUUCAAUGCUGACACUCCUACAUU
Molecule: long non-coding RNA, 12031 nt
Organism: Passer domesticus (house sparrow)
Lineage: Eukaryota; Metazoa; Chordata; Aves; Passeriformes; Passeridae
Exons: 3
Source: RefSeq, a predicted model, not a curated record